Molecule: long non-coding RNA, 829 nt
Filed under: Anser brachyrhynchus (Pink-footed goose)
Lineage: Eukaryota; Metazoa; Chordata; Aves; Anseriformes; Anatidae
Description: lncRNA (ENSABRG00000002185.1)
Source: RNAcentral
AAAGAUGUGAUGAUGUCUGUUUUCUUGGGUGCUAAUACACCUCCUGAGUGAAUGGUGCAUGCCACUUUGGCUGUGCAUUAUCUGAAAUGGCCCAGUCAGGCACUUUUCAUUUAAUUUAAUUUUAUUUUUUAUUUUAAUGCUAUAUUCAUUCUCUCUGCUUUGUCUUCUGCAGCAACAAGAUUUAAUUGGUGAUGUUUUGGAGCUUCCCUCUAUGGAACCAGUCCUGCUUCAAUGAAGAGUAAUAGCAAGAUCUUUUUCUCUUCAGUGGUUCAGAAUUUGAUGGUGGGAUAUCAAAAAUACCAUCCAGCAUCGGCCUUGAUUGCAGUAAUGGAUGAAGAACUGCUUGUGCUGGAGGAUACCGAAUUAGCAAGGAGCACCAUGUGUUCUUGUGGAUGUGAAUGAGAGAUGAAUAGGAAGGAGAUGAAAACUUGUAUUUGACUGCCUGCAGGAUAAUUGUGUUAGUGCAUGAUAGUCCAGGACAUGGUUCAACCGUGGAGACUGAAAUUCUGAAAUGGUGGGGCUGUCCUUACUCCUGGUGUACUACAAGGAACUGUGUUGCCUGCUGUGGUUCUGCUCCAAAUCAGGCCAUUUGAUGCGCUUGGGGUGUGGGUACCACUCCAGUAGUCUCAAGAAAUGCUCAUUUCAAUGUGGAAAAAAUGCUGGACUUGUUGGCUGUCCCAAAUCCAGGUGAAGAGCUCUGCAGAAAUUACCUGAGACUGAAUAUGGCACUUUUGCCAAAUUAGGAGGACUCGGCCAGGAGAUUGUGCCAUCCUGGGUGGAUGGAGGAUGGGGGAAAGGCACAAUGCUGUCCAUAACCAUUACUUACUGG